UGGUUCUGGAUUAACAUUUUCGGUGUGUC
This 29-nucleotide non-coding RNA is filed under the name Mus musculus (house mouse). Lineage: Eukaryota; Metazoa; Chordata; Mammalia; Rodentia; Muridae. The record is from RNAcentral.